GAUAGUCCCAUCAUCCUAGGUGAGCGCAGACGUGAGCCAGCCUGAAGAAACGGCAGCCAUAGCCUCAGGAAUAAACCGCAAUAUCCCUAAUGAUCCAAAAAGAUCUGCAGGAUUUCUCAGGCCUGCCUACACAUCGUAGCGCCCUUGCCAGAACGGUGGUGCAGUGAUGUAUUACCUGCCAACAGCACAAUGUGAGGCAGGGUCCAGCCGUUCUGCCCAGCAUACAACUUGAGGGAGCAGCCCCUUUUGAAGACCUCCAGGUGGACUUCACAGGAAUGCCAAAGUGUGGAGUGAUCAUGUGUGGAUCAAGGACUGGAAUGUAGCCCACCCACAACUACGGUGGGAAGGACCCCAGACCAUCAUUUUGACGACUCUCACAGCAUGAAAAUAGAAGGAUUCCCAGCCUGGAUCAAUCACAGUCAUGUAUCAUCUACAUUGUCUGAGACCUGAGAGGUGAGACUGAGCCUGGUGGACCCCUGCAAAGUGACAUUGAGAAAGAUGGCAAGCCCUGCUACAGUCACAACCAGAAGCUUACUGUUGUAUGCAUGGCAAAAGAAUGAGGAUACUCAUCAUGGGAUUUAUUCUCCUUAAAAUUUGUACUUCUAUAAUAAAGACUGAUUUUUCCUGCA
Molecule: long non-coding RNA, 629 nt
Filed under: Homo sapiens (human)
Lineage: Eukaryota; Metazoa; Chordata; Mammalia; Primates; Hominidae
Description: HSALNT0409266
Source: RNAcentral